UAGGCUUGGGUGGCGAGCGAGGGAUCGAACUGCUUCUUUAUUCUUACGCUUUGGAUGUAACUGGGAGGGAACUUGGAAUAGAAUCUCAUCUGUUGCUCCGUGAAAGGAUCAGAUACAGAAGCGUUUCAUUGGCCGCCUCUGAUAGGGUUCGAGCCACCAUUUUCCACGCUCUUCUGCUCUGAUUUCGUCCAAAAACCCUAAUACUCUCUCCACUUUCAAUACCUCAAUCUUGGGUUUUUGUUAUAAUCUCAGGGCCUUCGAAUUUCCUUAACUGGAGGUUCAAAUUUGAAUCCCAAUUGAUGCGGAUGAUUUAUCAGUGGCUUGAGCUGAAGAAUGUGCCCGUGCCUUUGUGGUUCUUUUAAUACAAUUUACCAUUGUGUAAGUAUAAAAUUCUAAUUUUAUAGGAUUUUAGAUGUAUGGUCCAGCAAAUUAUGCUUCUCAGUUCGGGCAGGGUCCUCAGAAACCAUGGCCACCUGCAUACCAACAGCGUGCAGUUGCACCUCCUCCGCCUCCUCCUCCUACCUCAUAUAUGCAACCAGGCCCUCCAAUCCCAUCACGUCCUAUAACUCAACAAGCACCUGCCCCCCCACCUCAGGCUGGUCAACCUCUUCAUCUUUCUCAGUCGGGUCCUCACGUUCCACCACCUCCACUCUGUCAGGGCCCAUCCGUUCAAGUGCUACCUGGUGGGAUCCCAAACAUCCGUCAAACUUAUUUUCACACUUUUCCACCAGUCCAUGGAAGCACACAAGGUUUUCAAUUUAACUCAAGUACUCAGCAGAAUGUACAACUUUCACAGUCAGGAGUUCAGAACAUGCAUCAUAUUCUACCUCCACCACCCCCGCUACCACCACCACCACCACCACCUCCUCCUCAUGCUCCUAAUCCACCACCACCCCCUCCUCAUGCUCCUAAUCCAGAUUUAUUACGGCCUCCACAACCCUCUACAGUAGUACCUGUUCAUCCUCCUUCACAAGGACAAACAUUGUAUGGAGCUCGAGUUCAUCCACCAUUGCAACAAGGUGGUUUGCAGGUCUUUCCCUCUAUACCACAACAUCCAACAACGUCCAACUUCCCUACUCCUCCUUUUGGAGGAGUUAUGCAAUCAAAUCUUGGAGAGUCUCAUUUGUCUCCAAUGGCUCCUCCACCACCACCAUCCUCUCCGCCACCUAUUCCACCUUCUCCCCCUCCUCCCACGUCGCCCUCCUUUUAUUCAAUUCCAAGCUCGGGUUCUUCCAACUUGUUGUGCCAGUCUGAAUUUGAUCCUAGUUCUACCAUUAAUUCUAGUAAAGAAUUGAAAGCCUUUGAGUCUAAUCAAGGAGGCACACCUACCAGACAUUUAGGGGAUAACGGACCCAAGCAUAAGCAUAGAAAUUUGGAUGGCAGUAUUGGCCUUAUGAUGGGUUCUAAAGUGGACAAUGAGAUAUUGUCAGAUAAAGGUAAUGUGCAGGAUCUUCCUCCAUCCCCACCUAAGCCAAAAGAUGAUAAAAUUACCAGGAAGAUAGGAGUAUUAUGCAAGUACAUUGCUAAUAAUGGUUCCAGUUUUGAAGACACUACUCGCCAAAAGGAAUUUGGGAAUCCAGAGUUUGAAUUUUUAUAUGGUGGUGAACCGGGAAGUGAAGCUGCAAUUGGUCAUGAAUAUUUUCUGUGGAUGAAGAAGAAAUAUAGUUUGGAUUGCAAAAAUAAAGAAAUGGAAGAAAAAUCUCCAGUGAGAUCUUUAAGAAUUGGGCCACAAUCUGAGUCUUUGACAGUGUCAGCAGCAUCCAUUUCACCUGAAAAUUCCGACAUGGAGAUGGAAGAUGAUAUUACCCCAGAUGGUAUAGGGGAGGAAACUAGUCACUCCUUUAAAAUUCAAAGCUACGAGUGCAAAUCAAGAAAAGAAGAGCAUGAUGCAAAGGAUCAGUUACAAGGACCUAAAGAUUUGCAAAGAAGCAGCCCAGUGAAGGGGAAAGUAGCUGAAGUUCCACAGUUCCUUUCAAUUCAACCUAGUUGUGCCAUGCAGAGAGGAUUUUGGACGAACCUGGAAAAAGAUGGAGAGUCAAAGCUUCUGCUCGAGCAUGAAAAAUCUGUCAGCCUGGAAGCUUGCCAAGUUCACAGCCCUGUCAUAAAUACUGCUGGAGUUGUUGAACAGCCUUUAGGAAGCAAUUUUGAGAUUUCUGUUACCUGCAUACAAAAUGAAAAAAGUCUAGCAGCUUCUGAAGCUGUUAAUUCUAGUCUGUCUACUGAACUUAUUAUUGGUGGCAGCCCAUUCAGACUUAUACAGGACUACGCUUCUGAUGAAAAUUCAGAAACCGAUGAGGAAUCACACCUUAAAGAUGUCAGUUUUGCUAUCUCACCUUCAACUCCAGCUUCUUCCAAGACUUCCGGAAAAGACAGUGAUAAUUUGACUAUUCUGGGAUCAGAAGGUUCUUGCCAGGUUCAACGGAGUAAUGUUCCACCUUGUGAAGCCUCGAUGCCUGAUUUUGGUUCUCAGUUCCUCUCGGAAUCACCAAAACUGAUUUUUGAUGCCAAUGAGGCAAAUGUGAGAAGGGCAGGGAAUGAACGGAACUAUAAAAUUCAUCAGAAUCAAGUUGGCACCCGCACCAGUUCUAAGUCUUUGGAUGCAGAUGCAGUGAAAGGUCGUAGUGUUGAUGUUCUCCAUGAUAGUCACAAGUUACAAAAAGAGAAUGAUGAGGAAAAGCAGAAGUUUGGAUCAUCGCCUGUAAAAAUAGAUGAGUUUGGAAGAUUAGUCAGAGAAGGUGGUAGCGAUAGCGAUUCAGAUGAUUCACACUAUACAAGGAGACAUAAGAAAAGAAGAACUAGAAAUAGUAGUGAAAGUCAUUCUCCUGUUGACAGGAGGAGGGGGCGAAGGAGUCCGUGGAGAAGAAGGCAGAGGCGAAGUCGCUCACGCAGUUGGUCUCCUCGUAAUCAAAGAGGCAGAAGCAGAAGCAGGUCUCCUGUCAGCAGGCGUACAAGUCAGUUUAAUAAUGAGAAUAUGAAACGAGAUAAGGGUAUGAUACGAAAAUGCUUUGACUUUCAGCGAGGUAGGUGCUAUAGAGGAGCAUCUUGUCGCUAUGUGCACCAUGAACCCAGCAAGAAUGAUGGAUCAAGACACCAUAGGAGCAAACAUCAUGAUGUUCAUCCAACUUCAGAGAAUAUAAAGGGUAGAGAGGACACUGUGAACAUGUCUAGGGAAGUAUCAGAUCCUGGGCAUAUUAAAGUUGAGAAUCAGGGGUGCAUUCAGCAUAAUGUGUCCCCAAAAGAUGAUACCCAUGAUUGGAAGAAAGGUAGUCCCACUGGUGAUCCAGAUUUAGAUGUAACUAAAUGUCAAAGUUCUAGAGAUAGAGCUGGCUUAGUUCAAGAAGAAUUAAUUUAUUCCAAAGCAGCAGAGGCUGUCCACAUUCACGUUAACGAGAAUAUUCAAGAAGCAGGGAAGUCUUAUGAGCAACUUUCAGUUACGGCUGCCUCACAAUGCAUGAGCAAUGCUGAUACUGAGAAAUUAUCGGGUGAUAUUUCCAUGAGCAUGCUGACUUCUGUAGAGAAGUCUUUGGCUCAUGCUCAGCAAUCCAACAUGUUUGCUUCAGAGUUUGAAGCUGCCAAUAGUGUCUCACACCAAAUGGAUGGUUCAUUUGUCUCCCAUUUGUUACCCGAUCAAGUAACUGCUGUCAGUACCAAUAAAGCUCCUGAAUGUGAACAUUUUCCUGAUAAAAAUUCAUUAAUUAAGCUCCAGUUUGAUACCAGUUCUGCUGGUCAGCAGCCUUCGACCUUACAAUUUUUAUCUGAGUCUCCAGUACCAAAAUCAUUAUCUGCUACUGCUCCAGGUUGUGCUAUGGAUGAUGCCCAUCCUCUAAGAGAGCUGCCCCCUCCGCCUCCUCUCCCAACUUCAUGUGUCACUAGUGCUGAUGUUCUAAUGCCUACCCCCUAUAACUUUGUGUCACAAAAUGUGUCCUUUCCUUCUAAGCCUUCUCUACCGGGAGGUUUUCAACCUCAUCAGGAUAUCGUAUCCAUCCAAUCAUCUCAUUACCACAGCACCACUUUCCCGCCUUCAAGACCAUUAUAUGAUCCAACAAUGGCUCAUGUAACUACCAAAGAUGGUACGCCAAUGCAAUUUCAUCAGAGUCAUUUGUCUCAAGGAAGUGAUCGGGGUUCUCAGUCUGUUAUGAAAUCCCAGCCAUUGGUGACAAAUUCUCAUUCUAUGCUUGGUGAGUCUCCAGUUCGGGAGCCUUAUAGAGCUCCAUUGCACAUGGAUGAAAUUAGAUCAACCGCCCCAGUUGCAAAUAAUCGACCUAUUCAGCCCUUUGGAUUCCCCAGCUUUCAGAAAGAAGAAAACUUUGGGCGGACUUCUGUGGAGAUGAGUUCUUCUAGUUUUUUUCCCCAUCGGAACUUUAAUGAUCAAUCUAUGCCCUUCACAAAUGCAAAUAGAAUGCAAUCUUCUGGUGACAAUUUUCCUCCCAGUGAAUUUCGAAGUUCAUUUUCACAGUUUCAUUCUUAUUCACGGUUCCAACAGCCAUUAUAUGCCUCGCAAUCUGCACAUGAUAGUUUUUUACAUGGCCCAAGUCAGAUUGGUACUAUAUCUCGACAUUAUCCUGAUCCUCUAAGCAGGAACCAUUCGUCUUUGCUUCCUGAUUUUGGGGGUUUGGGUAUUACCACUUAUCAUAAUCCUUAUGCGUCUACUUUUGACAAGCCACUUAGCUCCAACUUCAGAUCUAACAUUUUGAACUUUGGAAAUGAUGCACCUAGUGGUGAUAUACGUGAUUCUACUUUCAAUUUGAGCAAUGUUCGAGUUGAUGGGCAAGGUGCUAAUUAUUUUGGAUCAGGGCUGACAACUACUUCGCCAAAAUCCACCAAACCUUCGGGGAAACACUUGCCCAGCUCAGGUGGUGAUCAGUAUGAUCCACUCUUUGACAGCAUUGAGCCAUCACCACCUAUUACCAAGAAAUCUGAUCGCAUUCGAAAGCUGGAAAAAGCAAGAGAAUCUCAUAUGAUGACAAGACUUGGUGGUUCCCAUAAAUUACCAGAUGUGGAGGAGAACAACAAGCAUAAGGAGGUUGCUGCUGUGGCUUCAACUACUUCUCUGGAGAAUGAUGAAUUUGGGGAGACAGCAGAUGCAGAAGCUGGUGCUGUUGAGAAUGACCUUGAUGACGAAGAAAACUUAACCGGAGAGAUUGAAAUUGAUCAGGUUAAGUCCUCAGAGAAGAGCAAGAAAUCCAAAGGUUCCAGGUCGCUGAGGCUUUUCAGGAUUGCUAUUGCCGAUUUUGUGAAGGAAGUUCUAAAACCAUCAUGGCGACAGGGCAAUAUGAGCAAGGAAGCUUUUAAGACAAUUGUCAAGAAGACUGUUGACAAAGUAUCUGGAGCUAUGAAGAGUCACCAAAUACCCAAGUCUCAAGCAAAGAUAAAUAGAUACAUUGAUUCGUCACAACGAAAACUGACAAAGCUUGUUAUGGGUUACGUUGACAAGUAUGUUAAGACAUAGAAAAUGAACGAAAGCUGCAAUGCCAAUGUGGUGGACUGAUGAGAGCAACAUUAUUAUGGAUGCUUCUCCCCUUGUGGUGGUUAUCAGGAACUAUGCAUUGUUGUUUGACAUCUGCAGGGGAUGGAUAGGUGAUAUAUCCAUAGUGUUGGUUGAAAUGUCGGUCAGAGUUAGUAAUGGUCCUGUGGAUACUGGAGAAAUGAUGAAGCUUAUGAUAUGUUGAGCAUCGUGACACAAGUUCUUUUAACAUAUGAUUCUCAUUAGAGUCCCGAGGCCGCAGCAAAAUAACGUGAAACAACUAAGUGAUGUGAUAAUACUUUGAUCUUUAUGAAAAAUCUGUUCAUGCUUCUGGUUUAAGGACUUAUUGAGGAGCAUUCCAUCAUCCUUCAACCAUUUAGUGACCAUUGACUUCCUUAGAGUUGCACUUUGCGGUCUUAUUCUCAGUUUAUUGGUAUAAGGUAUGUUUAGGAGGAACAAAUUGUAUUAGCAUCAAACGCAUUUACUUUGUACCUUUGCAGAUUAUUACUUAACUAGGAUGAGUAUAUAUGUUCAAAAUUUUGGAUUAGUUUAGGUCAUGUCUGUAUAUCCCUCGUGUGUUUAUUGACAAGAAAAUGUAACAGUUGGGCUUCUAAAUUACAAGGAAUUGUUUUACAAUUUGAAUUAUAUGUUGGGACGAAUACUGUAAAAUAGAUGAGUUUGUGCUGACUGCUUGAGAAAUAGAUUUUGGCCUUGUUUUCAGUAGCCUUUAGACCCUUAUUUUUUAUCUGAACACUUUGACUAUGUAAUGAAGGGAAGRAGUCUGUUGGGUUAAGGUUAGACCAGCUUUUGAGAUUGUUAUUCUUCCGACUUUGUUGCUUAUGUUAUUGGAGAAUCCUUAAAGAGAAAUAUGGGAAUUUAGAGAAUGGUAUCUAUGGACGAGACUUGUCUACCAUGAUGAAGUAUGUUUUCCUUGGUUCAACAUGUGGAGUAGUUUGUAAUUUCAGCUUAGCCAUGAUGGUCCAAGAUUACUUUGUAUUAGUUUUUGGGAGGGGUGCCCACAUCUCCAUCCUGCUGUUUGGAAUUCGAAUCUCCAACCUUUUGAUUGAGUAUAUACCGCAACCAGAUACAGACUGGCGGGAUAAGCUUCCUUUUGGCUUGAAUUGAUGGAUGAUCUUGUUCUUAGAGCUACAGAAAUUAUGAAAUGAUUCCAUUCAAUCUCAUCAAGAUGCUCAAGUUACGACAUGACACUAGUAUUUCAGACCCAAUCAAGUCAAGUCAUGAAGUGAUAUAGUAUUAUUCCUCUGAUCAGAACCAGUUUUCUGAUGUCAAAGACUCUAGAACUAGAAGCUUGCUUCCUUUUUAUGUUUCAGUUGGGGAGGAGACAGAUGUGACUCCAAAACUGUUCACAAUUCAACCGUUCCAAGGACGGGAUCUGCCAGCAAAGGGUGUUUGUAAUUUUGGUCGGAGAGGACCGAUUGUGUUAUGUUACGAACUACUUAAGAUCUUACUCUUUGUCAAUCUGAAUAUAUUUCACUUGAAGAA
Non-coding RNA from Momordica charantia (bitter melon), 6967 nucleotides. The record is from RefSeq and is a predicted model, not a curated record. NCBI's taxonomy places the organism in Eukaryota, Viridiplantae, Streptophyta, Magnoliopsida, Cucurbitales, Cucurbitaceae.